AGUUUUUUGCAGGGGCAGUAUCAUAGUAUUGUAGCCAAUGAGGUUUAUCAAAAGUGUGAUUAUUGCUAAUUGAAAACUUUUCCCAGUACCCCUCCAUGAAAACUAAAAAUGUAGUCAGCAUCAGCAAUUUUCGAAUUUGACAGUCU
This is a small nuclear RNA of Rhinopithecus bieti (black snub-nosed monkey), 146 nucleotides long. Its record names the gene U4. It matches the Rfam family "U4 spliceosomal RNA". From Rfam's summary of the family: U4 small nuclear RNA (U4 snRNA) is a component of the major U2-dependent spliceosome. The structure of U4 snRNA from yeast and human has been reported. NCBI's taxonomy places the organism in Eukaryota, Metazoa, Chordata, Mammalia, Primates, Cercopithecidae. The record is from Ensembl.